CGCUGAACUUAAGCAUAUCAAUAAGCGGAGGAAAAGAAACCAACAGGGAUUGCCUUAGUAACGGCGAGUGAAGCGGCAAAAGCUCAGAUUUGAAAUCUGGCGUCAUAUUGGCGUCCGAGUUGUAAUCUGUAGAGGAGUAUUCGAGUGUGGCGUUGGCUUAAGUUCCUUGGAACAGGACGUCAUAGAGGGUGAGAACCCCGUUAACGGCCUUUGUCUUAUGCUCAUGUGAAUCUCCUUCAACGAGUCGAGUUGUUUGGGAAUGCAGCUCUAAAUGGGUGGUAAAUUCCAUCUAAAGCUAAAUACUGGCAAGAGACCGAUAGCGCACAAGUAGAGUGAUCGAAAGAUGAAAAGAACUCUGAACAGAGAGUUAAAUAGUACGUGAAAUUGUUGAAAGGGAAGCACUUGCUACCAGACACGCCUGUAGUUGAUCAGCCUUCAUUCUUGAUGGUGCACUCGGCUACAUGGUGGGUCAGCAUCAGUUGUGGCGGUGGGAUAAAGACCUGGGGAAUGUGGCUUCUCUCGGGAAGUGUUAUAGCCCCGGGUGCAAUACCGCCUGCUGCGACUGAGGACCGCGCCCGCAAGGG
This 584-nucleotide ribosomal RNA is filed under the name Peziza sp. Its description in RNAcentral is "partial large subunit ribosomal RNA". It matches the Rfam family "Eukaryotic large subunit ribosomal RNA", at positions 26 to 611 of the family's 3401-position model. Lineage: Eukaryota; Fungi; Ascomycota; Pezizomycetes; Pezizales; Pezizaceae. The record is from RNAcentral.